UACGUAGGGUGCGAGCGUUAAUCGGAAUUACUGGGCGUAAAGCGUGCGCAGGCGGCUCUGUAAGACAGAUGUGAAAGCCCCGGGCUCAACCUGGGAACUGCAUUUGUGACUGCAGGGCUGGAGUGCGUCAGAGGGAGGUGGAAUUCCGCGUGUAGCAGUGAAAUGCGUAGAGAUGCGGAGGAACACCGAUGGCGAAGGCAGCCUCCUGGGAUGACACUGACGCUCAUGCACGAAAGCGUGGGGAGCAAAC
This 250-nucleotide ribosomal RNA is filed under the name uncultured bacterium. RNAcentral's name for it is "partial 16S ribosomal RNA". It matches the Rfam family "Bacterial small subunit ribosomal RNA", at positions 524 to 773 of the family's 1533-position model. The record is from RNAcentral.